Molecule: ribosomal RNA, 482 nt
Filed under: uncultured bacterium
Lineage: Bacteria
Description: partial 16S ribosomal RNA
Rfam family: Bacterial small subunit ribosomal RNA
Source: RNAcentral
GAUGAACGCUGGCGGCGUGCUUAACACAUGCAAGUCGAACGGUGAAGCCAAGCUUGCUUGGUGGAUCAGUGGCGAACGGGUGAGUAACACGUGAGCAACCUGCCCUGGACUCUGGGAUAAGCGCUGGAAACGGCGUCUAAUACUGGAUAUGAGCUUCUACCGCAUGGUGGGGGUUGGAAAGAUUUUUUGGUCUGGGAUGGGCUCGCGGCCUAUCAGCUCGUUGGUGAGGUAAUGGCUCACCAAGGCGUCGACGGGUAGCCGGCCUGAGAGGGUGACCGGCCACACUGGGACGGAGACACGGCCCGGACUCCUACGGGAGGCAGCAGUGGGGAAUAUUGCACAAUGGGCGAAAGCCUGAUGCAGCAACGCCGCGUGAGGGAUGACGGCCUUCGGGUUGUAAACCUCUUUUAGCAGGGAAGAAGCGAAAGUGACGGUACCUGCAGAAAAAGCGCCGGCUAACUACGUGCCAGCCGCCGCCGUAA